This 253-nucleotide ribosomal RNA is filed under the name uncultured bacterium. RNAcentral's name for it is "partial 16S ribosomal RNA". It matches the Rfam family "Bacterial small subunit ribosomal RNA", at positions 524 to 776 of the family's 1533-position model. The record is from RNAcentral.
UACGUAGGUGGCAAGCGUUGUCCGGAUUUAUUGGGCGUAAAGCGAGCGCAGGCGGUUUCUUAAGUCUGUUGUGAAAGCCCCCGGCUCAACCGGGGAGGGUCAUUGGAAACUGGGGAACUUGAGUGCAGAAGAGGUGAGGGGAAUUCCAUGUGUAGCGGUGAAAUGCGUAGAUAUAUGGAGGAACACCAGUGGCGAAGGCGACUCUCUGGUCUGUAACUGACGCUGAGGCUCGAAAGCGUGGGUAGCAAAAAGG